RNAcentral lists this long non-coding RNA (730 nucleotides) under Oncorhynchus kisutch (coho salmon). Its description in RNAcentral is "lncRNA (ENSOKIG00005012118.1)". Lineage: Eukaryota; Metazoa; Chordata; Actinopteri; Salmoniformes; Salmonidae. The record is from RNAcentral.
CUUUGAUACUCUGGUUAGAGAUGAUCCAAUCGCUGAUGACUUUGUUUUGUACAACACCCCUCAUUUUGAUGUCACCACAAACGACUUCAACAAUGACAGUCUCCGAAUGAAGUGUGUAGCAAACAGAGCAGAGGAAGAAUUCCGUUUGAGUUGUCAGGCAAUGGUUUUGAAGCCGCUCAUGUCCAAUCACAGGCUGAUCUUCUCUUCCUGACACAUGAGUCCAGCAUCAUCCCCACCACCCACCCACCCACCUCUGACUGAGACCAGGGUUGUGAUUCCUGGCACGAAAUGAAGGAAAAUGGUCCGAAACGGAGUGAUGCGGCAAGGAAGCCAGGGCGAUGGUUCCCAACUGUAAUGUUAUGUAUGAAGCCUCACAAAUGCAAGCACCAUUCAAAUCUACUUUUCUUAUUACAAACACACGUUCAUGGAUAGUUACCUGUACCCACUCACAUAUUUAACCCUAUGCUGAAUUCAAACUGAGGCACAUUUUGUGAUGACUUGAAAUAUGUAUUAGUUGAAAAUAACUUUGCUUGAGUUUUCAUUUGGAAUUAGACACCCAAGCCGAUAGAAAGUGAACAUUAAAUAAGUGUUUUGAACAAAUGGGUCGUUGAUGUUUUCCAAAUACCAAAUGUUGAAAUAUGAUCGUAUCACAUCAGAUUUUUUUUUUUUGGUGCCAUUUAGUCAAUAUCACUCUUACUCAAAUACUCUAGCGGUCUCGCUGGAUGAUAGA